Molecule: long non-coding RNA, 619 nt
Organism: Quercus lobata
Lineage: Eukaryota; Viridiplantae; Streptophyta; Magnoliopsida; Fagales; Fagaceae
Exons: 4
Source: RefSeq, a predicted model, not a curated record
AAACGUAUCUUUCUUCCCCAAAAGCAACCUGAUAAAAUUCCUGAAACAAACCUAAUUAAAAAACCUCUCCUUCUUCCCCAAAAGCAAACCCGUUAAAACUCCUCAAAAAAAUAUUUUGCUAGCAGACUAAAGAAUCAACGAAGAAACAACAAAUCAAACAAAAGAACGCUGACCCAAGCACAACCAUGGGUGUUCCUCUCUCAAACGCAGAACCAAGCUCGACCAUGGGUGCCAACGUUUUCAAUCUUCGACCCGGCCGCCAUAUCAGAUCAUUCUCUCUAGGUUUUGUAAGAAAAUAUUGUGGAUAUGAAUGGGUUUUGCAGUGGAGAUAGUAUUGAAGAGCCUCCCAACCCUCAAAAUCUGACAACAAUCAUAUAGGUUGGUGGAAAAUAACCAACCAAUAGUACAAAUGCCAAAGCAAUUCAAACCACAAGUGACAAUUCAAGAAGAGAUGAACAUCAACAGAAGAACCAUAAGUGAAAUAACAAAAGUUAUGUGGGACUCUGGUAAUGAGGUAUAGAAUUCAAAAGCAAUGUGCAACUCACACUAACAUUUGUACUCAAGGAAAACCAAAGGACAUAUUCAGUGUCUACUACGAAGCAACAAAAGAAGAAAAUAC